This 281-nucleotide long non-coding RNA is filed under the name Arachis ipaensis. Its description in RNAcentral is "long non-coding RNA (AIPA_LNC000389)". The record is from RNAcentral. Lineage: Eukaryota; Viridiplantae; Streptophyta; Magnoliopsida; Fabales; Fabaceae.
UUACAAAAUUGAAGAAAAUUCUAAUGUCUAGUGUUGCCAUAAAGAGCUUGCUUCAAGACUGCUAGCUUCCUCUCAUAACUCUGCUUUGACAACUCAGCCUUUCUGAUUGCAGAUUCUGAUUCUUUGAGAGUGCUCACAACCUCUUCAUUCUCUUUUAUCAAAGUUUCCAAAUUCUUAUUGAUGUUUAUAGAUUCAAACUCACAACGUUUCACAUUGAAUUGUAACCUAUUCCUCUUCUCAUGCAAGGCUUUUAGUUUCACCUCCAAUUCAUUGAUUUUUUU